UAUUCAACCCACUUUGGCACAGCCGAAGCUGCUCGUUGGUUUCUUAAUCACGAGAUGGGAACCAUAAGGAAGUGCUUGGAGAAAUAUGAGGGAUUUAGAUUAAGGUUAGUGGGUCACUCUCUUGGAGCUGCUAUAGCUUCUUUGCUAGCGAUCAUGCUUCGGAAAAGGUCAUAUGAGGAACUUGGAUUUAGCCCUGAUAUUGUUUCUGCCAUUGGAUUUGCAACUCCUCCAUGUGUCUCCAGAGAACUCGCUGAAAGCUGUGCUGAUUUUGUUACAACUGUUGUAAUGCAGGAUGAUAUUGUACCCAGGCUAAGUGUGGCUUCUCUAGCAAGGCUGAGGAAUGAAAUUCUUCAAACUGAUUGGAUGAGUGUCAUUGAGAAGGAAGACUGGAGAAGUGUCAUAGGUUUGGUCACAAAUGCAAAGCAGGUUGUAUCUUCUGUACAAGAUGUAGCUUGGAAACUCGCCGAUUAUGCGAAGUUCAGGAGCAACAAGAAUUCUUCCGACGGUCCCAUCUAUAAGCAGUCACUAGCAGCUUCCGGAGCCAAUUCAACUUCCAAAGCUACAAUAGUCAAUAAUUCUGUCCUCAAAAAGGAAGGAGCUGCUUGUAUGGUGUCAGAGGAGUUAUUUGUUCCAGGUACUGUUUACUAUCUAAAGAGGAACAUCGACACUAAUGCUUCCAGCAGAAAUGGCAGAGAGGUAGAAUUUUUCACACUAUGGAAAAGGCAUCCAGGUGAACAUUUCCAGAGGAUAGUACUCUCUAGCAACAUAAUCUCAGACCACAAGUGUGAUGGCCAUUACUACGCUCUACGAGAUGUACUCAAAGCUUUGCCACUGACCCGUGACGAAGACAUCUUUAAAUGAUUAAAAACCAAUAGUCACUCAAUUUUCGCUAUAAUAUGUGAAGUGUUUAUAAAUUUCACUUUUGCUUGUACAAUAUCAGUGUAUAACUUGCAAGCAAUUUGGUGAAUUCUUGCUUAAACU
RNAcentral lists this unclassified non-coding RNA (981 nucleotides) under Hevea brasiliensis (rubber tree). Lineage: Eukaryota; Viridiplantae; Streptophyta; Magnoliopsida; Malpighiales; Euphorbiaceae. The record is from RNAcentral.